AGGCUUACAAAGGUUGGCCCAGAACGGUUGGAAUUCGUUCGUAGAGUAUAAAGGCAUAAGCCAGCUUAACUGCGAGACAUACACGUCAAGCAGAGACGAAAGUCGGUCUUAGUGAUCCGGUGGUGCUGUGUGGAAGGGCCAUCGCUCAAAGGAUAAAAGGUACCCCGGGGAUAACAGGCUGAUCUCCCCCAAGAGCUCACAUCGACGGGGAGGUUUGGCACCUCGAUGUCGGCUCAUCGCAUCCUGGGGC
This 250-nucleotide ribosomal RNA is filed under the name Campylobacter hyointestinalis subsp. hyointestinalis. RNAcentral describes it as "partial 23S ribosomal RNA". It matches the Rfam family "Bacterial large subunit ribosomal RNA", at positions 2304 to 2553 of the family's 2925-position model. Lineage: Bacteria; Pseudomonadati; Campylobacterota; Epsilonproteobacteria; Campylobacterales; Campylobacteraceae. The record is from RNAcentral.